This 208-nucleotide ribosomal RNA is filed under the name uncultured bacterium. RNAcentral describes it as "partial 16S ribosomal RNA". It matches the Rfam family "Bacterial small subunit ribosomal RNA", at positions 568 to 774 of the family's 1533-position model. The record is from RNAcentral.
CUCGUAGGCGGUUCAACAAGUCGGUCGUGAAAACCCGGGGCUCAACCCCGGGACGCCGGUCGAAACUGUUGUGACUAGGGUCCGGUAGAGGUGAGUGGAAUUCUCGGUGUAGCGGUGGAAUGCGCAGAUAUCGAGAGGAACACCAGUAGCGAAGGCGGCUCACUGGGCCGGUACCGACGCUGAGGAGCGAAAGCAUGGGGAGCAAACA